This 207-nucleotide ribosomal RNA is filed under the name uncultured bacterium. RNAcentral's name for it is "partial 16S ribosomal RNA". It matches the Rfam family "Bacterial small subunit ribosomal RNA", at positions 1293 to 1500 of the family's 1533-position model. The record is from RNAcentral.
UCGGAUUGGAGUCUGCAACCCGACUCCAUGAAGCUGGAUUCGCUAGUAAUCGCGGAUCAGCAUGCCGCGGUGAAUACGUUCCCGGGCCUUGUACACACCGCCCGUCACACCAUGGGAGCCGGUAAUACCCGAAGUCAGUAGUCCAACCACGUGAGGACGCUGCCGAAGGUAGGAUUGGCGACUGGGGUGAAGUCGUAACAAGGUAUC